Molecule: ribosomal RNA, 253 nt
Filed under: uncultured bacterium
Lineage: Bacteria
Description: partial 16S ribosomal RNA
Rfam family: Bacterial small subunit ribosomal RNA
Source: RNAcentral
UACAGAGGGUGCGAGCGUUGUCCGGAAUCACUGGGCGUAAAGGGCGCGUAGGCGGCUUGAUAAGUAGGAGGUGAAAUCUCAUGGCUCAACUGUGAGGCUGCCUUCUAGACUGUCUGGCUUGAGCACAGUAGAGGCGAGUGGAAUUCCCGGUGUAGCGGUGGAAUGCGUAGAGAUCGGGAAGAACAUCGGUGGCGAAGGCGGCUCGCUGGGCUGUUGCUGACGCUGAGGCGCGAAAGCGUGGGGAGCAAACAGG